GGUCCCGUGGUAGAGUGGCUAUACAGAGCUCUGCAAAAGCUCGUACAUCGGUUCGAAUCCGGUCGGGACCUCAA
This 74-nucleotide transfer RNA is filed under the name Ignavibacteriota bacterium. Its description in RNAcentral is "Ignavibacteriae bacterium tRNA-Cys". It matches the Rfam family "tRNA". Rfam says of the family: Transfer RNA (tRNA) molecules are approximately 80 nucleotides in length. Their secondary structure includes four short double-helical elements and three loops (D, anti-codon, and T loops). Lineage: Bacteria; Pseudomonadati; Ignavibacteriota. The record is from RNAcentral.